This 433-nucleotide ribosomal RNA is filed under the name uncultured bacterium. RNAcentral describes it as "partial 16S ribosomal RNA". It matches the Rfam family "Bacterial small subunit ribosomal RNA", at positions 29 to 507 of the family's 1533-position model. The record is from RNAcentral.
AGCGAACGCUGGCGGCAGGCUUAACACAUGCAAGUCGAGCGGGCCCUUCGGGGUCAGCGGCAGACGGGUGAGUAACACGUGGGAACGUACCCUUUGGUUCGGAAUAACGCUGGGAAACUAGCGCUAAUACCGGAUACGCCCUUUUGGGGAAAGGCUUGCUGCCGAAGGAUCGGCCCGCGUCUGAUUAGCUAGUUGGUGGGGUAAUGGCCUACCAAGGCGACGAUCAGUAGCUGGUCUGAGAGGAUGAUCAGCCACGCUGGGACUGCGACACGGCCCAGACUCCUACGGGAGGCAGCAGUGGGGAAUAUUGGACGAUGGGCGCAAGCCUGAUCCAGCCAUGCCGCGUGAGUGAUGAAGGCCUUAGGGUUGUAAAGCCCUUUUGUCCGGGACGAUAAUGACGGUACCGGAAGAAUAAGCCCCGGCUAACUUCGUG